This 1388-nucleotide long non-coding RNA is filed under the name Callithrix jacchus (white-tufted-ear marmoset). Its description in RNAcentral is "lncRNA (ENSCJAG00000084131.1)". The record is from RNAcentral. Lineage: Eukaryota; Metazoa; Chordata; Mammalia; Primates; Cebidae.
CAGUUGCUGAAUUGGAAAGGGAUGUUGGAGGCACUGCCCCAAGAUAAUGGAGACAUUGCCCCAAGUAAGAACAGCCCAGAGGUAAUGCCCACCUGACACCCCCCAGCCUAUUUGUUGCCAGCCCAAUUCAAGCCUGUGGCACCAGCAUGACUCACCUGAUGCAUCUGGGGCUCCACUGUGGCUUCCUGAGCACAUCAUCUUUGUGGGACCUGGGUCUCUGCCCUGUGAACCCCAGGAUGAAGUCAGACCUUGAUCCUGUGACUGGGGAUCUCACCUGCCAGUAGAGGAGACAGAACCGUCACUCACGACUGCCCCCACAUCCCACAUGACCUGGGCAGUGACACAGUGGCACUUAAAGCACACAGUUUGUCUUAGUCUGUUCAGCUGCUAGAACAAAACGCCACACACUGGGUGGCUUAGAAACAACAGAAAUUUCUUUGUCACAGCUCUGGAGGCUGGAAGUCCAAGAUCAAGGUGGCAGCAGGUUUGGUGAGGGCCUGCUUCCUGGUUCACAGAUGGAUUCUUCUUGCUGUGGCCCAUGUGGUGGGAAGGACAAGGCAGCCUCUGGGGCCUCUAUUAUGAUGACACAAAUCCCAUUCAGGAGGGUGGGUCCCUCAUGACCUCACCCCCUCCCAAGAGCCUCACCUCCUCAUACCAUUGCCUUGGGGGUUAAGUGUCAACAUAUGAAUUUCGAGGAGACACAAACUUUCAGACCAUAGCACAGGACCAUUGGAAGAGAGGGAUCCCGGGAGAUGAUCCCUGCAGAAAGGCAACACCAAAGCAGAAUAUGAUGCUCAAAGAGAAGCUUGCCAGAGGCCCGGGGUGGGAGGUCCCACAUCACAUGAAAACUCAACGGGAUGCCAGCUCCUAAAGCCACAUGGGAGGCCACUCUCCAGGGCUCCAGGGCAUGGGACACAUGGAUGAGGGUCCACAGCCACCAUGCGUGCUUGGAUCGAUUGGUCGCCCCUGACCACUCUCUCAGGAGAGGAGGAAAGAGGCCGGAGCCAAGACCAUCCUUUCCCAGCACAACGCGGCAAGCUUGGGUGAGGCAGCUGGGAUCCUCCCCCACCUUGACAGAAGCCUGGAACCUGAAGCCCAGGCAGAGCCAUGCAGACAGCCUGCCGAGAAGGCAGGUGGGGCAGAGACUGGGGAAGAAGGUGUUGGGGGUCCUGCCAGAUGCUUCGGUGAGGCUGAGUGAGGAGGCAGCUGCAGUAAGCAACAGGAGCGUCUCCCUGCAGGCACAGGCUCUCGCCAGAAUGGGGACAAGGUGGGCACCUCCCCUGCCCAGCACUGCCUCUGAGUCAGCCCACUCAGCAAUACCCAGAGAGGCCUCUGCAGCGGGCAUGGAGACAGGCUCUGGGAUGCAUACGGCAGGUCAUUGCCCAUAA